RNAcentral lists this long non-coding RNA (42560 nucleotides) under Malus domestica (apple). Its description in RNAcentral is "long non-coding RNA (MDOM_LNC003346)". The record is from RNAcentral. Lineage: Eukaryota; Viridiplantae; Streptophyta; Magnoliopsida; Rosales; Rosaceae.
UGCACAAAUAAAGAAAAGAGGAAAAAAGAAGAAAACAAAUAAUAUAAUCAGUUUAUUGUUGUCGAUAAUAUUAUACACACUUGUUGUAUGCAAUAAUUUUAUACACAUGUUGAAUACAAGAAUUAUAAUUUCACGCAUACCUGGGAGCUCCCAGGGGUCGAACUUGUAAAGGUCGACUUCAGCGAUAAUAGCAACCGGGAGGGGAGCGGAGGUGGCCUUUUUCUUGAGAUAGUGGACGACUAGCUCUUCGUCCGUCGGGUGGAAGCGGAACCCGGGCGGCAGGUUUGGCUGCGGAGGUGGCGGCUGCUGGUGCUGUUGCUGUUGUGAGCCCGCGGACGAGUCGGUGCACUCCAUCCUUGGUUAUUGGGUUCGGAGGGUUUCUGUGCAGCCAAGCACAUAUUACAUAUAGACCUUCAAUGUCGUUUGGAGGUGGCAGACUGGCAGGGCCCCUGUUUUAAGUAUGUGAGGGGGCAAUAUUCCGCUGCAGUUGCCUGCAUGGUUUUUAAACUAGGGAACCAAUGGUCAAGGCCACGUAAUGGGAUCAGGGUAGAUUAGCCAUUUUAUAUGAUGUGUAAUUACUUCGUUAACCAUGAUUAAGGCGGGGGCCUAAUUUUGUGCAUGGGAUUGAGAGUGACUGUGUGGUGGUUAGCAUAGGGACAGGUAGGGAAAGGGGAUAUGGAGGUGAUGGAAAACCCUAGGACGAAGCGAACUGAAAAGUGGGCCGUUGAUAGGCCGACACGUGUAAUUCGAAAACGAGAGAAAGGUCGACACGUGUGGUGGACUUCCGUGGGGCCCACGGACCACGCGAGGCAACAAAAUUAUACAGACGGAUAAGCCUGGGGUGGGAACAAGCAUUACGCUUCAGAUGUCAUGCUUUUUUUUUUUACAGAAGCGAUAAAAAAAAGUUGUCAUGCUUUUAUUGCGCAAAAAUAGCACCAAUUUUGCCAAGGACCCCACCAACAACCCAUUGGAGAGACUACAUGAUGAAUUGGACGAGAGAUUUUUGGCUGGAAUAUGAAUCAGAACAUUGUAUGUCAUAAUUUAAUUGGAGAAAAGUUUUUUUUAAGUGUUAGAAUACGAAUCAGAAUAUUGUAUGUCAUAAUUUAAUUGGAGAAAAGUUUUUUUAAGUGUUCUUUUAAUAAUAUAAUGAUAUAUGGUGUUAUGCUCUGUGUUCCUGUCACAUUGAAAAAUUUCUCUAAUUGAACAUAAUCCUGUCUUUGUUGUAAUUAAUUCUCCAUUUGCUCUUCACUCCAAUCUUCAUCUCUUUGUAAAAAGGGGACAACUGGUGGCAAGUCAUGGUUAUCCACCUUUUCUAAUGGCCAGAAGAUUCACAGAGGCAUUUCAAGCUCUCCCUGACCACAAGUCUGGCUUUCACACCAAUAACGAGGUUUGAACCCAAGACCUCCAGUUUUCAUCACUUAGCUAGGGCUUGGAUUAAGAUUUUUGUUUUACAAUCUAAUAUAUAAAAAGCUAUCACGUGCCCGAAAUAUACGUGAGCAAGGAGAUAGCAUAUAACAUAUUAAUAAAAAAAUACGACGCUCUGAAAUAAAAGUGAACAAAUUGAAAAAGUCGGAUGUUGAAAUUACAAUAACAAACAUGAUUUUUAAUAAAACAGUUUAGUUUAAUAGGAUAUGACAUUGAUAAACAAAUUGCAUCAAGAUGACAUGGAUUGCUAUAUAUAUACAAUGAUUAUAUUGUAUGAAUACUUUUCAAUCUUGUAGAUUUAGUUGGGGACUAAUAAAUUACUAGAACGUGACCCACAUGCUAAUUACAUGAAAAUGUGGAUUAAAUGAUAGGUACAAUAUUGGCGUCAUGUAAACAAUUGUGGUCUUGUGAUGUGCUCAUGAGGACAUGACAAUCCCUGUAUACCCUAAUGAUAAUUGGUAUGUAUCAUGGGGUCAGUUGGUGUUAAGAUGUCAUAUAUCAAACCCUAGGAUUCUCUUUUCCCUGAUGUAUUUUCUUGAAAAAAAAGUUUAGAAAAUUAUUGGCUUUCAGAGUAUUAAUUGGAAUAUUAUAAAUUUAGUACUACCAAUUGACUUCUAGGUGUAAUGUUACAUAACGGGUGUGGUAGUUAAGCACUUAAUUUUUAGACCAAAAAAGUGAAAUUAAAUAUAUCAUCCAUUCAACAUUUGAUGAGUUAUAUAUAUAUAUAUAUAUAUAUUUUUUUUUUUUUGAACAAACGACAUUAUCUAUACUAAAGAAGAGGAGGGCGGGCUUAGCUUCAUAAUGGAUUAACAAUAAUAUAGUUCAAACUCGCAUUUGACGAAAAUCGAACCUAAAACAUCUUAUUUACAAAUGAAGAGGAAUACUAAUCCGUAUAUAAGUGGCAGUUAUAUUAGUAUUUUGUAGUGAUUCGGAAUUGAUCAGAAACUCAUGGUACCAGUAGCAUUAGUUGCAGGGGUUUUCACACCAAGAAAUAUUAUGGGGCUGUUUCAAUGUUUGUUGUGGAGACAAAUUAAUGCUCAUCAGGAGGUGAAAAUUUGUGCGAGGUUGUUUAAUCACAUGAUCGUUUAAGUGGCAAAGUACUACAAUUACAUAACCGAAACAUUUUAUUAUUCAACGCUGGCACGUGAUAAGAAUAUAACCCUACACAAGUUCUGACCUGCUUUACCAUCCAGCGCAAACAAGAAGAGAGAGCUGAGAACUUACCAUGGAUUGGCUACUGGGAGAGCCAUAGUUGGGUUCGAAGCACCUGUGAGAGUAUUUGACCACGUACCAACCAAGUAGCGAUGGCUCAAGAACUAUAUUGGGUAGAGGCCAAAAUCAUGAUGGAUGACUAAGGAGGUGGGGUCUGAGUGCUGGUUCCAUCGACAACAAAAGGGACCCAAUAGGUGUCACUUCUUGCUAUCCAAUAUUACUUAUCAUCGUCAGAAGGGGCAAAUCCUAAUAUCACAAAAUCACAUUUAAUUAAUUCUCACACCUCCACUCAUUCAUUCACACUCACACAACACACACAAAAUGUAGACACAGUCUCACACUUUCAAAAGAUCAGGUCCUUUAAGAGAAGGGAGAUAUCAUUUGUGAGAUCCAUUUCAUGUUGAAUUUUAACGAUUCGAACGGUAUAUUUCGUAAGUCUCGAUUCAUUGAUCAUCUAUGCAAAAAUUUCAUUCAAUCCGAAAUUUUUUAUUUAUUUAAUUGUUACGAUGAAAUUUCAAAGUUUCUUAAAACAUAGUAUUCAUCGAUUUCUUUAAACUCAAUUAGAUGCCUCAAAUAUGAGGUGCAACUUCAAAAAUAGACAGUUCGAAUCGUUGAAGUUCGAUGUGGUGUGAGCACGCGAUAACUAAUUCCCAUUUUAUGAUAAAAAAAAAAUCCCUUCCCUUAAAAAAUCUGUUUAAUGUUAUAAACUUCUUAUUUAAGUGUGAAUGUGUAUAUCCUAGAUUAGAUUUGAUUCUAGUUAUUCUUCCAUAUUAGGACUUGUAUUCCUUGGAGGAGAAGGAUUUCUUCUCUCUCUUAUUACUAUAAAUAAAGGCACUGCGUAGGGGGAAUAACACAUCAUCUACACAACCCUACAAACAUAUAUAUAUAUAUAUAUAUAUAUAUUCUCUCUAUGCCGCUGACCCCCUCUCCCUGUCAGUUAAAUAUAGGCCACAACACGUACUCCUACCGUUGCGCUUAGAAAUCUAACAUGGAAGUUUUAUGUAUCAAACUAGUUCAUCAAUAUCAUCACGCAAUCAGGUUUUUCAAAACAACGAUUUUUAUCUCGAUAUUUUACAGCCCUAAUAGCAUGAACAUUCACCAUAAUGCAUGACCCAACUUUACGUUUUUCGAAUAUUAAAUUUUACAUAAAUUGUGUAUACAUUAUAUCCAUAAUUAUUGAAUUAUGUGAAUUUGAUAUUGACAUGAAUUGCAUCAAAUUAUAUGUCCAUGCAUUGAAUUAUUUAAUAAAUAUGUAUGCAAUUGAAUUAAUUUAUAAUUUGGAAUUAAGAAAAAAAUUAUUAAAAUUAGAGUUUCUCAAAACCCAUCCCAUCACCACUACAAGCCGUCGGCUUCCGAGCCGCGCCGUGUCAACCCACCAGCCCUAGGAAUGCAGCCUGAAUGGCUGACCUGAGCCGCGAGACCAUAGAGCCGGAUUUAUGGGCUCAUGGUUUUGAAACCCAGAAAAACCUGACGCCUUUAAUGGCGUCUCUAUCAUCACAUAUGGGCCUAUAACCCAACCUUGACUUUGGGUCAUUGUCCUGACGGGUUGAAGCUCGUCCACCGAUGUAGAUUUACUGAGAUUCCUUCGAAUCUCGUCAGAUUUUUUGAAAUUUCGAUUCGAAUUUCUAGGGUUUUGGUUCAAACGUUGAGAUUUCUCUAUCUUCGUUCAUAUUCGUGAUCCCCAUUGACUCACGAACUGGCCCCAAGAAAUUUUGUCCCAAAACACAGCCGCCUGAAGCAACAACGCCGGUCUUCUUCCCUAGUAAGCGCACCUUGCUACGGCUAGGUUGUUUUUAGUCCUAGCCAGAGCCUAAUUAGGCCUUGGUUUUCUCGGCCUAAAACUAUUUUUUCCCCUUUUUGGGCUCGCCUGCAGUAGCCUAAACCAUUAACUCAGCCCAAUUCAACACCAGCCUGUAGGGCUAUGGUGUCCCCAUGCAUAACAACUGCAUUAGAUCCCAGCCCGUAGCUGGUGAGUCAGUGCACCUGCACCGUGACACACCUAAUCACAGCUUCGCAUAGCUAUGAAGCUCCCAUGUACCACAAUGCACAGGAUUACGUCCCUUCGGUACAUGUGUUCAAAACGCACCAAAUUAGAACUUUUUUUGGGUUUUUGUUUUUGGGCCUGAUCAACCCAUGCCCAACCCAGCCUAAUUUCCUUGGGCCUGGAACUCACAGUUCCAUUUUUCCCUAGCCCACCCGUGGGCUUUGGUCUAUGUUUUUGAACCCCAAGGUUUAAUUGUCUAUUUUUUUAGACAAUUACGGUUUUAUAAGUUUUUCACCCACACUUUAAAUUUAGCCCGAAGUCCAAAUAACUAAUUCAAUUAUAAUUCUAGACCUGAAGUUCUAUUUGCAUAUUUCUGUAUAUAUAUUUGUGUUUGUCUGCAAGAACAUAUGAACUUGAAGUUCAUAAUUAUUUUGAAACCUGAAGUUUCUAGAAACAUGCCUUGUUUGAAAACCUAAAGUUUUCCUUGAAAACAUCACCCAUGAAAACCUCAAGUUUUUUCAUGAAAAUUUAAACCAAUACAUGUCUAUUAAAACAUGAAUGUUCUACUCCUAUAUGAAUAGAUUGAUUUUUUUCUCCAUUACACUAACCACAUCUUGUCCAUUUAUUUUGUGAUAGGAACAUGUCAAAUUUGAACAAACUCGACUUCACAGUUUUAGAGGUCUCUGGAAGAAACUACCUUAAAUGGGUCCAAGAUGUGAAGCUCCACCUCCCCGCAAAGAAUUUGUGUCCCACCAUUCAAGAUGAGACGGACAACCCGGUUGGCGAAGCUGAGAAAGCCAUUGCCAUGAUCUUCAUCCAAAGACAUGUUCAUGAUGCAUUGCAAACCGAGUACCUUGCUGAGGAUGAUCCACGACCACUAUGGGUUGCUUUGGUUGUUCGCUUUAAUCACAAAAAUGAUAUCUUUUUGCCUGAAACAAGACAUGACUGGCAGCAUUUGCGCUUAGAAGUUUGUCGAAUGAAUAUAAUUCUGACAUUUGUCGAAUCCGAUCACUUCUUAAGUUCUAUAACGAGACAUUGACCGAAGAUGAUCUUCUGGAGAAGACCUAUUUAACCUUCUCUGCUACUAAUUGAUGCGUAAAAUAAGUUAACACACAAAUUAAACCCUCUUUUUGACAAUUAUAGUAAAGUAUGUAAGUAGGGUAUCGUUCUAGGCCGGGGAUUAGGAGGGAUUGCUAAUCUAUUCUAAAUUAAUUUAAAAAUAUUAAACAAGACUCAAGGACACAAAACUAGGUUAAGAACUCUAAUAACUCGAAACACACUUAGAAUGACUCAAAAUAAUGAAAACAAUCAAUUGAGACACUAGGAACUGAAAUGGACGGAAAUUGAAUUAAAAGACUAACAACAAUGAAAACUAACUAAAUAAUAUAAUUUAAUAAUGGGGGGGGUUUGGUUUUGACGAGAAGUAAAUUAAACUUAAAUAAAUUACAGAAUUGACAAAAGCAUGAAAUUAAGGUGAAAGGAUAGGUGACGGACUAGCUAGAGGGUUCUUCUUCACACAUGACACAUAUGCAACCUAAAUUGAUUUUCAGUUGUUCUUUCAAUAAAUUGUAAAUCUCAAUACUUCAGAUUAACCGUGAACAACACUUUUUUUAAUCUUCAAGUUUUCCUUAAGUUAUUGAAUUGGACGGAAAAACGCAUACAACAAUUCAAAACAUUCCCUACAAGUUCCCUACAUGAAUUGCAUAAUAGAGAUACAAGCAAGAAUCAUUAAGUUCUAUGAAAAACAUAAACAUUGACGAGGCACUCGUUACUAUGAUUUGCAUGAAACUUAUGCCAAAAGUUUACUUAACGUGAUUGUGACUAGCAACCUUCACUACUUGUGAAUAUAAGUUUAUAACGAUUAGGUGAAACUCCCUUAUAUUCUAGCGUCAAAUUCAUGCAUGUAAAUUAAGUAUGCAUUCUUAAUCGACAUACAAAAAUAAGUUAUCAAUCAAGCAGUUAAGCAAAUUAAAUCACAACUCAGAAAUCACAACUGAAGGUAAUCAAUUCAUAUUACAAAUAUAUUCAUGGCUUUGAAUUAACCUCUAGCCAAAAUAAAUUUAGUUACACAUUAUUAAAACAGAAAUAAAAUAUAAGUUUGGAAAGAUUUAACCGAGAGAGAAGGCAGCUUUGCUCCUUCUGUUUUUUUCCCUGCUCUCUGCCUUGCUCUCUCCCCGCGCCUUCUGUUCCUCGUUCCUCUGACCUCUGACCUGCCUCUCUUUGCUCUCCUGUCCGUGCCUCUCUUCUCUUUCUCGCUGCAAAGGCAGCCUUUUCCCCCCCUGGCGCUGUGCUCUUGUCCUCCUCUUAUUCUUCUUUCAUUUAUUUUUUUAUUCCUUUUUCUUCCCAGCCAGGCAGCUAAGCUGCUUCUUUCUUCUUCUUUUUUUCUGUUCUCUUCUCCCUUGUCCGAGUCUUCCUCUCCUCUGUCCAAAAAAAUAUCCUCUUAUCAUUCCUUUCUUUUUCUUUUCUCUUUCUUUUCCUUUUUUUAUUUCUUUUCUUAUCUUCUGCCGUGCAUUUUCUUCUCCCUUCACAACAUGAAUCAUGAUGAUGUUUCAAACAUCAUCAUGACUUAUCAUUUUUAUUAUUAUUUUUAAUUUAAUUUAAAAGCUGAUCUACACAGACAGUUUUGACGAAUUUAUUACAUAAAAUUUCACUUGUUCUAUUUUUAUUUUCUUUGCAUAACAAAUCCUAUAAACACAAAAAUAACGUAAAUAGCUCAAAAAUAUAAGGAACUAACUAAGAAAAGACGAGUGAAUUCGAAGUAAAAAUAUAUAUAAAUAUGAUCCAAUCACUAAUAUUGUCAUGCAGCAACAUAUAGGGCUUAGAAGUUCACUAAGUUUUCAGAUUUGAUCUUUGUUUUACUUUUCGCUGAAAAGCAGAAUCAGCUGUUGAUGAAAAAUCAUUAAGCUCGACCUACUGGGCAAUUGUUGUGCCUGAAGCACAUUAUAGCACCAACAAACGCCCAAAUAGGCGUGGUAGGGGCAGCCAAAAGCCACCCUAUCAAGGUUAACAGAGCCAAGGCUCAUAUAAGGGAGGAAACUGAGCCUAGAAGCGCCCUAACCUUGCUCCCAAGGCCCUGAACUUCAAGAAUAAGGGCUAAGCAUCUGAAACCAUGGAUGCGGACAUGUGAUAUUGUUGUGGUUCAAAGGACCAUUGGUCCCGUGUUUGCCAUGCUACCCAGAAGGUUGUAACUGAGAAGUUUGAAUCAAACUUUAUGCAAGUGGAUAAACUAGAGAGUACUAGAUGGAGGUUUCUAACUUUCAGGAGGAUACCACUCCUAUGGAAGAUUAGAAUCUUAGAUAUAAACUAUUUUUCUAGUUGAAAUUUAGAUAAUGGGGCUGAAUUCCACCUAGUGGCCAAAACCCCCUUGUUUUUUGGUUUAAUUUUGAACAAUUUCCUUUAUGUUUGGAUUAUUUGUUGGUGAUUUGCUUUUGGAUAUUAAGUUUUUAUUAAUUACCAUCCUUGAAUACUUAUAUUAUUUUGAAUAGAUAUUUGUUUUAAGAACUUUUAUGCAUGUGACCAAUUCAAAUUAAUUUUAUUUCUAGGUAUGACUAGUGGGAAAGUUAGUUGUUUGGCAGAUAGUGCAACCACGCACACCUUUUUGCGUGAACACAUCUAUUCCACUAACUUCAUACCUAAGAAUGCACCUCUGACAACCCUCUUGGGCCCAUCCAACCUGAUCGAAGGAUAUGGUAUGACACAUAUAAUGUUGUCCAAUGGUACAAUUUCGACCAUUGAUGAAGUGCUUUAUUCUUCGCGUUCCGGAAGAACGUUGUUGAGUUUCAAGGACAUUAGAGAUAAUAAUUACCACAUUGAAACCUAUAUAGAAAAUGGAGUUGAAUUUUUGUGCAUAACUUCAUACGAAUAUGGCCAUAAGUGUAUUCUAAAGGGGAUGAAGAAUAUCGUGAGUGGUCUGUAUACUACGACCAUAUGCCCUAUAGCAAGCCACUAUGUGGCCGGCCCAACCUAUGAGACUGCGCACGAAAUUACACUUUGGCAUGAUCGUUUAGGACACCCUGGACGAAUAACAAUGCGCCAUAUCCUCAAAUCAUCAUACGAGCAUCCAUUAACCCGAAGUUUAUAUUCGAUUCAAAGAAUCGCAUGUCAAACCUGUUACAUGGGAAAGCUUAUUAUUAAGCCUUCUUAUGACAAGAUUCAUUCGAAUCCUCAUAUUUUUCUACAAAGGAUUCAGGGGGACAUUUAUGGACCGAUUCACCCUUCCUGCGGACCAUUUAGAUAUUUUUUGGGUUUGGUUGACGUCAACACACUUGUUGUCCAUAAACAACGCUGUAUUCUCCAAACUGUUGGCUCAGGUUAUCAAGCUCAGGGCUCACCACUCUGAUUAUCUAAUCAAAUCUAUUUGAUUGGAUAAUGCUGGAGAAUUCACAUAUAAAACUUUUGAUGACUAUUGGAAGUCAGUUGGGGUUGAAGUUGAACAUCCAGUACCACAUGUUCACACCCAUAAUGGCCUGGCAGAGGCAUUCAUUAAGAGCUUCCAAAUGAUUGCUCGAUCGUUGGUCAUACGUACUAAGUUCCUAAUCGCUUUGCACACAACCAUGUUGGUCCGCCUGAGGCCUGUUGCAACCCAACCUUAUAGUGCAUUUCAGUUGGUUACUGGAUACGAACCCGACAUAUCGCAUCUGCGCAUUUUUGGUUAUGCGAUCUAUGUGCCAAUUUCAUCGCCCUUACAUACAUAAAUAGGACCUCAGCGAAGGAUGGGAAUCUAUGUCGGAUAUGAUUCUCCUUUAAUCAUUUGUUACUUAGAACUUUUGACAGGUGAUAUGUUUACUGCUUGUUUUGCAGAUUGUCACUUCUAUGAGACAGUCUUCCCGUUGUCAGAGGGAGAUAAGAACUUCAAUGCUCCUGAAGAACGACGCGAAUUAUCAUGGACGACUCUCACUUUGUAUCAUUUAGAUCCCCGUACUGCAAAGUCUGAGACUGAAAUGCAGCACAUAUUAGAUCAGAGCAUAACUUAGAGCAUGCUAGAUGCUUUUAUCGAUCUAUUGCGAGUGACAAGAUCACAUAUUCCAGCUACGAAUAUGCCUACAAAGAUGGAUCUACCAAAUGUAUGAUGAACUUCCCUCCUAGAGGCCCGGGACACCACUUUGGCCGAGCCACGUACAUUAGCGACUAGUCAAUCAUUUUCCCCUACAUAGAAGCAUGGCAGACCACUUGGUUCAAAGGAUUUACACCCCCGGAAGAGGAAAUCCACGGCACAGGCACCUGUAGAGCCUACCGUGAGUCCGACUGUUACUUACUCAUUCUAUCAAACUCAUGAGGAAAUUCUAGAUUACGGAAGUGUCCUUGAAGAGACAAAUCCACCUUCUGAGAAUCAUGAGAUUUCGGUCCAUUAUGCUAGCUUGGAUGAUGUUUGGUGUAGAAAUGAGGUGAUCAUCGAUGAUGCAUUAGCAUAUGCAGUAGUUACUGAGAUCAUGUUGUGCAAUGACAUUGAACCUCGUUUUGUUAAUGAAUGUCAACGUAGAACUGUCAAGCAGUCCAAGUUGAACUCGAUUCGCUUACGAAACAUAAGGUGUUUGGACCUGUAGCUCCUACUCCUUCAUAUAUGAAGCCCGUUGGUUACAAGUAGGUUUUCGUUCGGAAACGUAAUGAGAAAAAUGAAAUUAUGCAUCACAAAGCUCGUCUUGUUGCGUAAGGCUUCUCACAACGCCCCAAGAUUAACUAUGACGAAACUUAUUGACCCGUUAUGGAUGUGAUUACUUUUCACUACCUUAUCAGUAUGGUAAUUUCUGAAAAAUUGAGUAUGCAGCUAAUGGACAUAGUAAUUGCGUAUCUCUAUGGGGAUCUUGAUACGAAAAUUUAUAUGAAAGUUCUCGAAUGACUUAUAUUGACUGGAUCAAAUAUUUCCAAACUCUGGAACAUGCUCUCAAUUCGACUGCGGCAUUCACUCUACAAUUUGAAGCAAUCUAGAAGAAUGUGGUAUAACCGUCUGAGUGAAUAUUUAAGUAGUCAGGGAUAUGUGAACAACGAACUAUGCUCUUGUGUGUUCAUUAAGAAGUCAUAUUCUGAUUUUGAGAUUGUCGCAGUAUAUGUCGAUGACAUGAAUCUCAUAAGAACUCCUGAAGAGCUCACGAGAACUGCCGCACACCUGAAGUCAAAAUUUAAGAUGAAAGAUCUAGGAAAGACUUGAUAUUGUUUCAGUCUCGAGAUAGAGCACCAUUCGGAUGAAAUCUUAGUAUAUUAAUUGAACUACACUUAGAAGGUGUUGCGCCACUUUAACGAGGAAAGCUAAGCCUUCAAGUACUCCUUUAGUCGUUCGAUCGCUAGAUGCAAAACAAGAUCCCUUCCAUCCGAAGAAGGAUGAUGAAGAGAUUUUGGAGCCUGAAGUUCCUUAUCUAAGUGCGAUAAGCGCUUUAUUGUACUUAGCUCAAUACACUAGACCCGACAUAUCAUUCGCUGUUAAUCUUUUGGCAAGAUACAAUAAUACACAAACACGCAGACACUGGACUGGUAUUAAAGACAUUUUUCGUUACCUUAAGGGUACUACGGAUCUGGGCUUGUUCUAUCCCUACAGAUCCUCGAGUGAUGUCGCACCCUCUUAUCUUGAAUCGAUUCUCGCCUUGUUGGUUAUGCCGAUGCAGGAUACUUAUCUAAUCUGCACAAUAUGCGCUCUCAAACGGGUUAUGUCUUUACCGUUGAAAGCACCACAAUCUUUUGGAAGUCAACUAAACAGACCUUAGUUGCCACUUUGUUUAACCAUGCUUAAAUUCUCGCCCUACACAAAGAACCUCGGGAAUGCUUUUGGCUGAGAGCUAUUGUGGGCCAUAUUCAAAGCUCAUGUGAUCUUUACUCGGUCUUUGACAUCCCGAUGACGAUCUAUGAACACAAUGUAGCAUGCAUCGAACAACUCAAGAAGGGUUACAUCAAAGGAGACAACACCAAACACAUUACGCCGAAGUUCUUCUUCUCACAUUAACAACAAGAGCAUUAGAAGAUUGAAGUUACGCAAAUCCGUUCACAAGACAAUCUGGCUAACCUCUUAACCAAAGCACUACCUAAGACGACGUUUCAGAAGCUUGUUCAAGGAAUUGGUAUGCAUAAACUUUUUAAGUUGUAACAUUGCUAGUGUUUUUUGGAAUUAUGUGAAACUUAAGGGAGUAUCCUGAAGUAUACUUGGUUGAUCUUAAUGUACUCUUUUUCCCUACAAUUAGGAGCAAUUUUCCCACUAGAUUUUUGCUACCUAACAAGGUUUUGACGAGGCACACACCUUGGGUUGAUCAUAUCCCUGAUGAUGUCCCGUAGACGUUUUAUUUGACUUUGCAUUACUCACGUAUUUUUCCUUAGCCUAUGGAUUUUGUCCCUACUUGGGUUUUUACCAUAGCCAUAGGGUUUUUUGUGAGACUUACUUCCUUAUGCAAGUUCCUACCUUAUUUGAGAAUAACGUGUUCCCAUAAUCAGUGCUGACGAGUCGACUUCCUCAACCUCUACAUAAUGCCAAAUCUACUUGAGUAUUUACACACUCAAGAGGGAGUGUUAUAAACUUCUUAUUUAAGUGUGAUUGUGUAAAUCCUAGAUUAGAUUUGAUUCUAGUUAUUCUUCCCUAUUAGGACUUGUAUUCCUUGGAGGAUGAGGAAUUCUUCUAUAUUCUCUCUGUGUUGCCGGCCCUCUCUAGGGGGAAUAACAUAUCAUCUACACAACCCUACAAAUACAUCUCUCUGUGCCGCUGGCCCCCUCUCCCUGUCAGUUAAAUAUAGGCCACAACAUUUAAAGAUUAGUUUGAAUAAUUAGUGAUAUUAAUGACACUACUGGCACGUACGGUGCCUCAUCUAACACACUCUCAAUUUUGAUCAUCUUAAUCAUCUAAUUAAUCACACAACAACUUGAUUCUCAAUUGAUGUGAAAUAACUAAAUUUACGUGGGUCCUUAACGAACAUACAUUAUGCUCUAACUAUUUUUAUUUUUUUUGUUGGUGGGGAGCUUGAUCCAUGAAAAUUAAGGAGGGAAAGUCAGUUAUCCCCUAUUUGUCAAUGCAAAAUUCCCAAUCAGAAGAAUUUUCAUGAGUGCAUGUCCUUGAUUGUGUUAGUGAUUAAAGCUUCUUAUUAAUUUUAUUGCACUCGAAUCCAUACAUUUGUUCUCUCUUUAAUGUAAAAACGAAAAAAAAAAAUACUACUACUACUUGUAAUCAAAGUAUAGCAAUCCUUAAAAAAAAAGUUUUGGAUAUAUGUCCUAAAUAUUUUCUUUUAGUGACAUACGAAUGAAAGAUUGACAAGUAUCAAAUUCGAAAGCAUAAAAUAAAAUUCAUCAGCGAUCCGAAAUCUAACAAAGAAUAAAGAAAACUCAGAAUUUUUAUUGUGUUGUGGCAUAUAUUUAAUUGAGGGGUGCGACAUGGAGAGAAAGUGAGUGGAGAAUGGAUAUGAGGAAUUGUGUGUUAGUUUUCCAGUCCUUAUGCCUUUAUUUAUAGUAAUAACAAGGAGAGAAACUUGCUUUCUAAGUAAUACAAAGUCUAUUAGGAAAGAUCUUCUAGAUCCCAAAAGAUUCCUAAUCUAUCUCUACUUAGGAUUUACACAAUCACAAUAUGUAUUAGAACAUAUGUCACAACACUCCCCUUUAGUGUGCAAAUGCUCAACUAGAUGGCGCAUCUGAUCUUCGGGUAAAUGUAGAAGUAGUUGAUGAAGUCAUCUUGUCUAGUCAGCAUAAGUAGCGAAUGCUAGUCUCAAAACAAACGGAAGAAUGCAUGGGUGGUAAAACUCACAAAACCUCGCUAUGGAAAAACCCAAGGUGGGACAAAAGCUUUUAGCUAAAGGAGAAAAGUGAGAAGUUGCAUUAAACUAAAACUAUACGUCAUUGGGACGCAAGUAGAAUGUACACAAGGGUAUGACUAACCCAAGAUGGGUGCCUCAUCAAAACCUAGUCAAGUAGCAAAGACCCAUUGGGAAAAAUGCUCACAAUUGUAGGGAAAAAGAAUACAUUAAGGUCAAGUGAGUAUACUUCUGGAUACUUCCCCUGAGUAUGACAAAACUUCCAAAUGAAACUACAAGCAUCGUAAAUGAGAAAGUUACGUAUAACAAUUCCUCGGACAAGCUUUUGGAAGGUAGACUUCGGCAAUGAAGUCGUGUAGAGGUCGAUAAGAUUGUCUGGGAUCGGACUGCUUGACUUUAAUCUUUUAAUGCUCAUGCUGAUGUAAACAUAAUAUGCUUGGCGUUGACCUGUUGGAUGUAUCAUGAUCUGGUUACAUACGGCGUUGUCUUCAUGGAUCGUUGUUGGGACUCAACGAUGAAUGAAAAUCAUAUGAAGUUUGAAUAUGCUCAACAAGAGUUCUCAACCAUAUCUCUCACAUGAUGAGAUACAGUGAGUCUUAGAAUGAUUCAAAGGUUUCGCAACAAAAGGUCUAUAUGGUUGACCUCCAAGAUAUUGCGGUGUUCCUUAAUGGUAAAGGCAUAACCAUUCGGGAACGUACCUUGUGCGGUUAGAUAGAUAGUCUGAUUCAGCAAAUCCCACAAGAUAGGCAUCAUUCCGAAAAUCAAUGGGGUGUGAUAUAUUCUAAGAUGCAUAAGGAUAGACAAGCCCAAAUUCGUAGUAGCAAAAAAACGUCAUUAACACCAAAUUUGGGGGUGGCUUGUAGGCGUCAUGUUGCUUUAUGCCAAAAGAUUAUCAAUACAUAAGAUGUUUGAUCUAGUGCAUUGAGCUAAGUACAACAAACGCCAAUUGUACUUAGAUAUGGUUGUGUCAGGUUCUAAUAUGGAACCUUAUGCUCCAUAUCCUCCGUAAAGGUCUCAUUUACAUCUAGCGUACAGACGACUAGGGUAUACUCGGACAUCACACCUUUUGGGUCUAGUUCUAAUGGUGGACCAAAAUACCAUUAGAACUAGCUCAAAAAUUUCAGGUCAAGGUAAUGUUGAGUUUUUCUGAGAUCAUUUAUCUUAAAGUCAGACUUUAGGUGUGAGUCAGUUUUCUCAACUCUAGCAAUUUUGAAUUUUGUACACACAUGGGCAACUGAUGAAAUAUUCACUUAGAUAGGUAUACCACAUUGCCCGGAUAGUUCUGCAUCCGUAAAGUGAAGGCCUCAAUAUAACCAAAAUGGUGUUCUUAUGAUAUAGAACUAUUUGAAUUAGUGCAUGUAAGCCUUUUGGAAACUCCAUGUAGGUUUCGUAUUAGGAUCCCAAAGAUACUACAACCACGUUUGUAAUGCUGCAAUCAAUCACAUGGCAUAUGAGAGAAGUUUUGCACCACAAGACGUCAUAUUGCACUAUUUCAUUCAUCUCAUUCGCCAUGGAUUGAUUCUUCUAGUUGACCAAUCAGUUCUAUGUUGACAUUAAUCAACGGAACGCGGUUCGUUAUCUCCGCUUUAUGUCUGUAGUAACCAUAUAAAUGAAGCAUCAUCUAUGAUAAUCUCAUUCCAAUUCCAUAUCUCAUCCAAACUAGUAUACUGGACCAAGAAAUUCAGGUCACGGGAGUAAUUCAGAUUUAAUCCCAUAAGAUGAAAAAGAUUGAGAUAGUGAUCGAAAGGGAGCAUUCAUUCAUGCCACAUUCCUCCACUUUUGGGGAGGUGAAUCAUUUGAAUCGAGUUAUUUGCCACACUUCUGGCAUAUGACAGAUUGAUUGGCUAGCCGCCAAUGUACGAGGGUCAGCCACAAUAGUGGCGUUCCUGUUUUCAGGACGAAGGUUCGUCAUACAUAUGGUACAUAUUUUUGUAGGCACAUUUUUAGCUGAUAUAUAUGAUCUCAUCACUUUUGCUAGAUCAGAGGAAAUGUCUGGUUAUAUUGUGACGAUAUAGAUUGGGAUCAAAAUGAGACAUAGUGGGGAUGUCUAUGAUAAUUCGUGUCGUUCUUUAGGAACGUUACGUUCUUAUCUCCCCUAACGACGGGAAGACUAUCUCCUAAAAGUGACAAUCCUUAAAAUGAGCGGUAAAGAGAUCGUCUGUCGAAGGUUCUAAGUAACGAAUAUUAGAAGGAGAAUCAUAACUGACAUAGAUUUUCAUCUUUCCCUGAAGAUCUAUUUUUUUGUUGUACGUAAGGGCGGCACAAAUGGCACAUAGACCGCACAACCAAAGACGCACAUAUAUGAUUUGUCGAGUUCAUAUCUAGUAACCAACUGACACGUGCUUUAUAAGGUUAGGUCGUGACUGGCCUCAGGCGGACCAACAUGGUUGCUUGCAAUAUUGCAUAGCCUUAAGCAAAGAUCGAGAAUUUGGUACGUAUGACCAACAAUUGCGCAAUCAUUUGAAUGCAUUUAAUGAAUGCUUCUGCUCGGUUGUUUUGGGUAUGAACAUGAGCAACUGGAUGUUCAACUUCAAAACCCAACCGACAUGCAAUAUCCAUCGAAAGUUUUCAAUGUAAAUUCUCCAACUUAUCUAAUCAAAUAGAUUUGAUUAGAUAAUCAGGGUGGUGAGCCCUGAGUUUAUUAAUCUAAGCCACCAGUGUAGAGAAUGCAGCUUAUGGACAAGAGCCACACGUGUGACCGACGUGUAGAAGCAUCAAUCAAUACCAUAAAGUAUAUAAAUGGUCUGCAGGGUGAUUGAAUUAGUCCACAAAUGUCCCCUUGAAUCAUUUGUAGAAAAGGUAGAGAUUGCUAAGGCAUGAUACGCUUCCAGGUAUAAUAUCUUUACUUUUGGUAAGAAGAUGCCUAAAACGGCGCAUCACGGAUCAUCCUAGAUAUCCCAAAAGUACAUCUAUAAUGAAAAUUCCUUUGGGAUCUUGGACUUCUGGCCAGCCACAUAGUGGGCCUGAAUGGGUAUAAUUCACUCGUUAGGUGUUCCAUUUUCUCUAGAAUACGCUUCUGGCUAUAUUCUUAGAAAGUACAAGGGAAUUUUUACUCCAUUUUCUACAUUGGUUUUAAUAUGGUAAUAGUGCUCUCAAAUAUCCUUAAAACUCAAAAAGGCGUUAUGCCAAAGUGAAGUGAGUAUAAGGCUUCCCUUUAUAGUAAAAUUAGUACCAUUAGGUUGGAUAAGCCUGAAAGGUUGUCAGGGGGUGAUUAGUUGUGAAGUUAGCAUAAAACCAGGCAACUAACUUCCCCACAAAACAUACCUAAGUAUGAGUUAAUCGUAUUAGUCACAUGUAGUAAUUUUCGUUAAUUAACUAUUAUUCGAGAAUAAUAGUGUCAUCCAAACACCAAUCUUAAAUAUGAGAACAAAUAAAUUGUUCACAAAAUAAGCUAAAUAUACAAAGGGGGUUCGGCCAAUAUGGUUUUCCAUGUCAAAAUUUCGUUCACCAAAUGUGUUGGGUGGAGCAAAAUUAGUCUCACAUAUUGACUAUGGGAAUGGUACUCCUUAACAACAUUAGUAGGAGCACAAAAAAGUGCAUGACCAAUGAUCUAUUCCAUCAAAAUGGAAUUAGAUUCUGCAUGGUUGAGGUUCGGAAAUAUUAUCCCUUAUUCUUGAAGUUUUAGGUCUUAGGUGCUAAGGAUCAUGCUUCGGGCGUGAUACCACCUCUUGGCCUUGAUUCUACCAUAUGUUGUAAAACAAACUAAAAAUGAGAUUGUGAGAGACAGAUAAAUAGACCUAAACUUGGGUUCGGUAGGGUCUGUUCGAGAGGUCUCUACCGAAGCAAAGCAAUACCAUCAUGUGCACCUAUGUCGAAGCAGCGCAUGCCUUUCUGUGCAUCUCUAUUGAAUCAGAGCAUGCAUGUUGGUAUGUUUGUACCAUACUUGACCAAUCCUCAAAACUACCAAGCACCGAUCAACGUCAUACCUUCAAAGACCCACUGAAGGGUUCAUAUUGAGCCACCCCUACAGAAGCACAAGAGUUUCCCUCCAACCAGGAGGUCAAUCACAGCACAACACAUGUCAACGUCAGAAUAAAGCUCAUAGAGCCCUACAUCGACCGCAGAAAAAAGCUAGAGACUCUCCUCAACCAUAAAAGAAGACCAUUUUCCUACAAUUAAUCCCCAAUGUUAUUACUGUACUUAAACUUGUCAUUAGAACUCACUAAUGAUGAUUAUGCUUGAACCUAUGUAUUUUUGUAAACCCUUCACUAUUAAUGGGAACUCCUCUACUCUGUGGACGUAGCCAAACUUAAGGUGAACCAUACAUCUUGUGUUUGGUUCCAUAUCUUUAUCUCUUUACAUAUUUAUCAUCACUAGUGACUGAACCAACCGAGUGAAGGUCAUAAACUUGACACUUAAUAUUGUUCCAAAGUCUUCACCGAUUUUGUGCAUCAAUAUUCGGCACCAUCUGUGGGGAGGGACACUUAUUCCUAUUAUCUUCAGCUUUAUCUAGUUUUCAUCGUUUAUACACUCUUCUUUGACCAGGCAUACCUCUCCAACAUAGGGAGCGAAGAAAGCCACAACACACAAAUUAACACUCCCCUCGUGCCUAGUGUAAGGCAGUGAAGAACGAAAAAAGUUUGCUCUUCAAGCUAAAGUUGAAAAGUUGGAAGCUUUGAACAACAAGAUAGCAAUAAAGAAUGAAAUCCUUAAGGAGUAGUAUAAGAAGCUCUUCGAAAUGCUCCAUGAGGCAAGGUAUACUCAGUCACACGAACCCAUUGCCCCUAUGGACAUCAACCAUCACCUAGGCCCCCCUAACACGGAAGGUUAACGACCUUCAACAUGGAUAUUCCUGAUGAGGAGAAAACUACUCAUCAAUGUGUUGAUCAACGUAAGACUUAUCUUAACCCAACUGCUUCGACCCAAAGUAAGGGAAAUAGAAGGAGGCAUCUCCUUGCAGAGGGAACGGAAUGAUCAAAGGCUGUUUAUAGCGACUAUUGAGACUUUUGAGGCAACGUCGAGAAAACCCCAUCCACAUAAGCUCAAAGAUCAAUGACCUAAGGGUUUCCAAAAGACUAGUUCAUUUACCACAUUUCAUACUAGCUAUUAAUCCAAGGAAGAAAGGACAAGUUCUGAAGUAACUUAAGAAUGUAGAAGACCCAGAAGGCUACCAACAGGCAUGCCCCAGAAGCCGGUACGGUGAGUCUAAAGAAAAAUCAUCUAGCCUUGAUCAAACUUCCCUACUUCCAAGAGGUGAUGGAAACUUACGAAGGAAGGCUCCAAUAGUACAUGACUUCACUCAGGACCCUUUUGUCCUGCAGUUCAUUGAGGAAGUAAACAAGUUGAAGGCUGAACGUCAGGCCAAGAUACCAGACUGGAAUAAACCAAGGCCAAUCCCUCUAACAAGGAUGAUCAUUUGCACCGCACUACAAGGAAAAACUAAAUAUAAGCUUGGGUUACAAUCAUAUACUGAGACGGAAGAUCCAAUUUAGCAUAUCCACGUCUUUGAAUCUACCAUGGCAUACCGAAGACAUAAUGAUGAGGAAUGAUGUCUUAUAUUCCCCUCAACUCUGGUGAAGCUUUCAAUUAGUAUUGUCAUCUUCAACCUAAUACUGUGGAUUUCUUUGCUAAGAUAAGAAGAUUCUUCAUGGCUCAACACAUUUUCCAAGCUGAUCGCUUACACUCUGCAGAUAAGUUAUACACCAUUCGUCAAAAGUUGGACGAGUCAUUAUGUGAAAAUGUUGGUCGCUUCAGUCACGAGUACUUUCGUUGUGCUGAGGCAGAUGAUAAAACUUCACUCAUAGCCUUCACGGUAUGCAUGCGUGAAUGAUUCUUCAAGUACAUAAUCAAUGUUAACACUUGGAAGACUUACUCUGAGGUGAUGAUACAAGCUUACAAUCAUGCCUUUGUUGAGGCAAUGACAUACUAAAAGAACCCUCCUAUGAUUAACCCAUACCAACAAGUAGGGAGUGGAAGUCAAGUCUUACCAAGUGAAAAGGUUUUGGCCAUCCAGACACCCAAUGUAUCCUCUCAUGCCUCACUUAGCUACCCGUUAAGUAACCAAAUGUAUUCGUCUCUUGGCAAGAGAAAGGAUUUUUACUCUCAACAAGCUCAUUGCAACAAGAGGGAUAAAGGUUUGUAUCAAGACAACCAGGGGUGAACGUACCUUCAACUAUUAUGACCAUGGGGUCAAGCCUCACUCUUUCAAAAUAAAGGACCAGGUGCUGAAGGAAAUGCUUUUACACGAAGGUAUACCCAUUACAAAUAUUUUGACCUUCAACCGUUUGAGAUCCUUUGUAACACAAGCCAUUCGGCAAAUAUUUAAUGAAGAGGGAAUUUAGACAACUUCUUCUGAGUCUUUUACAUUCCUAGCAAUUGAACAUUUGGUCUAUGCUGACCUACCUCUAUACUCUAAUUCAGAGCCUUAACAAUCAUGUUUGACACAAAGUAAGUGAAACUAGGUGUUACAACCAACGUGGUUCACAUAACCAAACAAAGGAUUCCUUCAUGCAUAGCAAAACAUUCAUAAGCAUCACUCAUGUCAAUCAACAUAAACAUCAUACAUUUCAAUAUAUUAAUACAUAAGCCAACUAAGCUUUGAAGAGGUGUUAACAUGCAUUUUUCCAUUCGACACUUGCUACAAUGUGCCUCGGCAACUUACCUUUAUUCUCACCAACCAGGUGAUGAAGGAACUCACCUUUGUAUCACCAACCAAGUGAUGAAAAGUACAACUCAUACUCUAAUAUCCUUUGACAACUUGCCACUCUUUCCACCAACCAAGUGAUGAAGGCACUCAUCUUUGUAUCACCAACUAGGUUAUGAAGAGUACAACCAAUACUCUAAGAAACAAUUUUGAGUUUCAGCAACUUGCCACUCUUCUUAUCAACCAGGUUAUGAAGGAACUCACCUUCGUAUCACCAACCAGAUGAUGAAAAGCACAACCAGUACUCUAAUAAACAAUGCUGAGAUUCGACAACUUGCCAUUCUUCUUACCAACUAGGUGAUGAAGGAACUCACUUUCGUAUCACCAACUAGGUGGUGGAAGAUACAACUAGUACUUUAAUAAACAUUUUUGUCUCGGCAACUCACCGCUGUUUUCACAAAAUGGAUGAUGAAAGAACUUACCUUCUUUUCACCAACUAGGGAAUAACAGUACAUCAUGCACCUGUGGAUUCUUAACAUUCAUAAGCAGUCGAAAAUUUUCAAGCCUUACAACUCGGAAAAGGCAUAUACAAACUCAACAAAGCCUUCCACACUCUUGCUUAAUAGUGUGGAAGCAAAAUUGUAUUAUAUGGUUUAAUAAACCUUCAAUAGCUACAACACGUAGAUUGUCUUCUACACUCUUGCUCAAAAGUGUGGAAGCAAAAUUGUAUUAUAUGGUUUAACAAAUCUCCAACAAAUACAACAUGUAAAAUGCCUUCCACAUUCUUACUCAAGAGUGGGGAAGCAAAAUCUAUUUAUAUGGUUCCUCCGAACUUUCAACUACUACAACAUGUAGAUUGCUACCUUCCACACUCUUGCUCAAGAGUGUGGAAGCAAAAUUUAUAUAUGUGAUCUCACCCACAUUUUCUUGUCCCUAGUUCAAAAAUUAAAAAAAAAAAAAACUGCCAAAAAAAAAAUCUGCCAAAAAUAAAUAAAAAAAUCAUAAAUUAUUUAAUUAAUUGUUAAUUAAGCAAUUAAUUAAUUAUUAAUUAUGACAUGUGGAGAAGGCCAACAAAGCUUCAAACCAUAAGAGAUAACUACAACAUGUAGAUUGCCUUCCACACUCUUUCUCAAGAGUGUGGAAGCAAAAUCAACUUAUGAAGUCCUAUAAAGAGCUUCCCACACCUAAGGGAGAGAGCUUCCCACACCUAAGGGAGAGAGCUUUCCACACCCAAGGGUAUGAGCUUCCCACACCUAAGGGUACGAGCUUCCCAUACCCAAAGGAAUGAGCUUCCCACACCCAAGGGAGAGAGCUUCUCAUACCCUUGAAGGGAGAGAGCUUCCCACACCCAAAGGUAUGAGCUUCCCACACCCUUGAAGGGAGAGAGCUUUCCACACCUAAGGGAGAUAGCUUCCCUCAUCCAAGGGUAUGAGCUCCCCAUACACUUGAAGGGAGAAAGAUUCACACUUUGCGAGCUACACAAAAAUUCAAAAAGCCUUCCACACUCUUGAGUGUGGAAGCAAAAUCUAUUUAUGUGCUUCAAAAAAGCUUGAACCGAAUGCUUUAACAAAAAAAUUCAAAAAGCCUUCCACACUCUUCUUCAAGAGUGUGGAAGCAAAAUCUAUUUAUGUACUUCAAAAAAGCUUCAAUCGAAAGCUUUAACAAAAAAAUUCAAAAAGCCUUCCACACUCUUCUUCAAGAGUGUGGAAGCAAAAUCUAUUUGUGCUUCAAAAAAGCUUCAACCAAAAAGCUUUAACAAAAAAUUCAAAAAGCCUUCCACACUCUUGAAGAAGAGUGUGGAAGCAAAAUGUAUUUAUGUGCUUUUAACUGAAAGCUUCAACAAAUAAUUUCAACAAAGCCUUCCACAUUCUUCCUAAAGAGUGUGGAAGCAAAACCUAUUUAUAUAGUUUGUCUCACAUUAGAUCACUCAAGCUAUACCCAUACAGAAGAAAAAUCUAUUUAUGGACUGUAGGUCUAACUAGAAAAAAAAUAGGCUGAAAUCCCAAACAAAAUUAGAGAAUGAGCCCAAGCCCAUAAUGGGCUACUAGGCAGGCUGUUGAUGCAACAUGUCUAAAAUAAAUAAAAACGGUCUACGAGGUCCUAAGCCCAAAACUGGGGCUGAGGACAUUUGUUGUUGUUGUUGGUUUUUUUUUUUUUUUUUUUUUUUUGAAAUAAAACAAAUGGCCCAAAACAGAGGCCCAAAAACUGAAGGACAAUCUGUUUAAGCCCAAGACAAUGGGUUGGGCAUCGAGAUAAGGCCCAAGUCCUCAGGUCAGGUUAUGGACAUCCUAGCAAAACCUGGGUGUGUUGCUGUGGAUGAAACCAGGCACAGCGCUGUAGGCGGCGGCGAGUUCCGAGCAAAAUCGAACGGAUUUUCGAUAGGGAAGGUUCCAAAUAUCUGAGGAGUGAGAAAUCUCAAACUCCGCGGAGAUUUUGAAGGAAAACUCGAAGCUCUCGGAGAGGAGAUCGAACAAGAUCUAGCCAUCGACUUUCACCACUGUGACGACUUCAGGUCAUUAGAAAAUCAUGAGUCUCACUUGGAAAAGACUGCAGGUCAUCUAUGUUGUCAGAGAUCAUAUAUCUUGACAAAAAAUUGCACAAAGACGAUGAGGUGGACGAAAAAGACAACAUGAAGGACAAGUCGUUCAGGACCUUUGUGUCUAGCUUAGCACUAGCUUUGGCUUAGCGGCUGUAGCAUGAGCUGUAUGCUCAAGCUAGGGAUUUGUAGAUCAGGUCCAGUCUAAAGUAGACUAGGGCAUUUAAGCCCAUUAUGAGGUCUAGGGUUUCAACAUCCCUUUUUUUCUUUAUUCACACAUAUUUAAUUCACAUAAUAGCAAUAUUAUGAUUAUAAUGCAUAUACAAUUUAAGUAGAAUCUAAAAUUCGUAAAACGUAAAGUUGGGUCAUGUAUUAUGGUGAAGGUUCAUGCAAUCAAGGUUGACAAAUAUUGAGAUAAACAUUGUUGUUUUAGAAGAACUUGGAUUGCGUGAUGCAUAUUGGGAAUGGGUUUGUAGGAGUUCUUUCUUCGGGUUUCGGCUUUCCAUCUUCAAAGUUUGUAUCACGUUCAACACAAACAAAAUUUAAAAUUGAAUCAAUAAAAGUAUAUGAAUUCAAUAAAAUCAAAAUUUAAUUAAUUAAGAAUAAUUGAAACGUAAUACUCUCUUGAAUGAAGAAUAACCACGUCAUAUUCCUUAGCACAGCAGAGGAGCGUGCUGAUAACAUGUUGUGACCUAUAUUUAACUGAGGGGUGCGGCAUGGAGAGAAAGAGAGUGGAGAAUGGACUUGAGGAAUUGUGGGUUAAUUCCUCAAUCCUUGUGCCCUUAUUUAUAGUAAUAAGAAUGAAAGAAACUUGUUCUCCAAGUAAUACAAAGUUUAUUAGGAAAGAUCUUCUAGAUCUCAAAUGAUUCCUAAUCUAUCUCUACUUAGGAUUUACACAAUCACAAUAUGCAUUAGAACAUAUAUCACAACAUGUUGAUAAUAUGCAAACUGAUAAAUACAUUUAUAUAAGUUGGCUAAAAUAGAAAACAUAAAACCCCUAAUUCCCAUCACAUUCAUAUAACCUUAUAACCUGUGAAUUACCAAUUCUUUAAUUAUUUUUCUUAAUUAAACGUAAUUUCCCCCUGUAAUUUUUAUGCAUCUCAAAUAACCAAAUCUUAAGCUACAUCAUUAACGCCUUUGAACACUCUCUAUGUAAGAUAUCUUAGUUCUCCCCUCUUUUUUUAAUAUUUUUUUUAAGGGGAACAACUAGUGUUAAGUCACGAUUAUUCACCAUUCCAGGCCCGGAGUUCUCCCGUCACUAUUUCUAUUUUGGUUUUGAAUCUUUUUUAGUACAAAUUAUAUUCUACGGUGAUUUACAUUGAAAGGAAAGAGAAAAGUUUAAAAACAGAACACAAUAAAGUCAUAAUAACCAAGUCAAUUCACCACUUUAUAUUUAUAACAUAAAACCACAUAAAUCUAUCACACGCAUCAACAUGCCAGACUUAAUAUUUCCAUAACCCCAACAAAAAAGAAAAAGAAAAUCAGUAUUCACUCUUUAAUUAAACUCAACUUUAUACCCUUAGUUUGCUCAUGUCCACGUAAUUUGAGCGUCCUCAAGACAUGUGCCUGCAAAAGAACUAAUCUUCUUCAUUGACUUUUCCUCCUUUGUUCUAUAUGUCAAAAAAACUACCAGAUAUGUACCCUAUGUAUAAGAAAAAGAACAAUCUCUUUAAAAUUAAGAGAAUAAAAUAUGCAACUGUUGCUUAUUUGGUUAUUUAACCGUUAGUUGCAAAUUUACAAAAUGUAAAAUUAAUCAGCGCGCACACACACACACUUUCUUUGUGAAGUACAUGAGACUCCACUUGUAAUUUGGUAGCAAAAAUGAUAUCCAAUUCAUAUUUUCCUUUGCAAUUACAAGGAACAGGACUAGAGAUAAUCUAGAGGUCUAGACUAAAAUCCAAUCAACUAAUCUCUGUUGCUUGCAAAGUUGUUGCAGACAACGACCCAACAAAAUUUCUCAACGUUGAAGCAUGGAUUACUAUAUAAGGCAAUAAUUCCUGCCGGCAAGCACCAUAUUUUUGUCCAGAAUUGCUAAAAGUUUAGCAAACCUUGUGACUACCCAAAACCAUAUCAUCCUAAAAUAUCUCACAAUUUCUAGCUAGAUUUGUCAAUUGAGGCCCCCAUAUGAUAGAUGUUCAACACCUUACCAUAAAAUUUAAUUUUGUUGGUUAUUCUGAAUAAUUUAUUGAAUCCCACAACCACUCAAGCAAUAUUUUUCGAAGUAUCAAUUAAAGAAUUUAUUAAAUGCCAUUGCCGUUCCAAAAAGUCAUCCUCAAAAUAUGAAGUACUUCAACUCAUCAAUGCACAAUCAAUUUUUUUUUUAAUUAAAUACGUCGUAUAUAUAGGGCAUCAUACCAUCAUUGUAUUUGUCACUGAGAUUUGUAGAAUAUGAAAGCUAUGGAACAUGGAGGGUACUUGGUUAUUAUUGUUCUCCAUGUGACUGUUAGAAGAUGUAUAGCUAGCUGGGGUACGUUGAGUCAAUGGCAAAGAGAUGAUGUUACCAUGCCUAUAUGUAUAUACAAAUAGUGGUAUAUCAAGUCAAUUUUUCCUCUCUUGGUUAGGGUAAGCCUAACUUGACCUUUAUCCUUUGUAAGUGGAAAAAGAGUAAACUUACAUGUGCACAUAGUACUUUCAUGUCUGACCCGUGAUCGUCAGGCUAUCUCUUAUUUUGAUAUGAAUGACUAGUGCAAGAAGCUUAAACAAACUAAGCUACAAUCACCUUUCAGACAAUACUUAGCUAGCUAACCUAUCUAUUUCGAUGUUUGCAUAUACUUUUCUUGGCUCUAGUAUGAUUGAAUCAUGAGUAUGCUUGCAUAUACUCUUUUUUCGACCAAAAAAAAAAUGUACGAAUUAGUAGGUAUUUAAUUAAAUAAUAAAGAUCAUUAAUUGGUUUCAAUUGAAAUUUUACUAUUUAGCGGCAAUACUUAACUUCAGGAUAAUGUAGUAAUCACAAAAUUAUGCUUUCACAUGUCCCUUGACCAUGUAGGAAAAGUCUUGCAUUAUUCACGUGAUGCUGGUGCACAUGUUAUGGAAGUUACUACAAUGUGAUGAAAGUUACAAUAGGGAGAGGAAAAGUAGGAUGUGCAGAAGACAUAAACUGAAUGAGUAUGUAGAGUGUGGAGUUUUGAUUCAUGUAUCACCCAUGUAGUGCAAUGUUACAAGCCAUAAAACAUAUAUAUCUUUAGUAUAGGGGCGUAAGUUGGAUUAGAAGUUUUGAUUCCAAACUAAAACAUAUUGAUUUUGAAGCAGCAAAGACCAGAUCAAGAGAAGCGAUUAGACUCGGAUCUCUGGAUAAGAGAAGCAUUAAUCGCGGAUCAAAACUCGGACCUUAUAGUCUAUACAGUUUGAUCAACAUGGUCAAAAUGACCUACAUGAUCUGGAUCAGAUCGUCUAAGGUACCAUCAGAAUAAGUCAAUCUAAUAAGCACCUGAACGGUAGACAAGAUGUCCACAAAGAUCUGUUGCGACAAAAUAGAAUUUGAGGCGUCGUCAUGAUCAUCAUCUGAUCUUGCUAGCUAUGGUAGGUUUAUAGGAUAAUUAUAUCUUUGUCCCCUCACGUGCGAGGCACAUGUGUUUUUUAACAAUCUCUUAUUAAUUGUCUUGAAUUGGCAAACGAAUGUAAACACAAAGAUCAAUUUGGCCAAAUUGAAAACACGAAUACUUAAAUUAACACAGAGAUUAUUUUAACAUUUAAGUCUUUAUUCUUAUUAAUAUAAAUUAAAAGUGGAACAUAAAUUAGUCAACCACCUUUAUUAUAAGGGAACUUUAACGAAAAGCUCCCGGUACUGUUCAUUUUAACGAAAAACCAUAUUUUUACACUAAAAAGUCAAUCUUGGUACUAUUCAGUUUACCCUUUAUUUUGUCCUUAUUGUUAAAACUCAAAGUUUUCAAACCAUUUUCAUUAGUUUUCCUUUAUUAUAAUUCUAUAAAAAAAAUUUUCCCAAAACUCAAGAGUAUAAAAAUAUCUCCCAAAAAUCAGGGUCCAAUACUAAAUCAUAGCUAGUGACUAUAUAUGAUCUAGUUAAAACUAUUUUAUGUGUAAAAAAAAAAUUGUACAAACACGCAUGUAGUCCAAUAUUCUAGUAGAUAUGAUGUUGAGUUUCUAUCUAUACGUCCUGAGUUUAAAACUCUCCCCAUUCCCCUAAAUUAUUGUAAUAGUUUCAUGCCCUUCCCCCUUCCCCUAAUAUAUUAAAUUUAACACAAUUGAUGUUCCAUAUAUUAUACAAAGUUUAUCACCAUCAUUUGGAGUUUUUCAAUUGGGUAGCUUAAAGAGAUCAUCAAUAUUCGGGACAAACUAUUAAGUUAGAAUGUGAGCAUCUACCCAAUUGAUAGUGGGUAAACUAGAACUUAAUAUAAGAAUAUAUAUAUAUAUAUAUAUAUAUAUAUAUAUAUAUAUAUAUAUAUAUAUAUAUAUUCUUUGUGGGAUAUCCCAACACAACUCUUUAUGUGUAGCAUUUAUUGUGACUAGCGUGUGGACAUAUAACCUGACCAUGAUACAUUUUAGCAUCUGAAGGUGUCCAAAAUAAAUUGGUAAUACGUGAAAAGUCAAGAUCUUAUAAGAGGCAAUAGAGGACUAGGUUGGCCCUUUUAGACAGAUAGAGAUAACACCGAUUUACUGACCUAAUGAAAGACUUCCAUCUCUAACGUGUGAUGCUCUUAACAUGAAGGUGUAUGAUGAUGAAGAUAUAAAGCUUUUUACAUGAUUAUAAAUGUGAGGAUAAGGGUUGCCAGUGCCAAACAUGUUUAUACUAUUACGAUGAUGAGAUCGGGCAUAAUUCCACAUUAAAGGCCUAAUUUCCUCCUUCCCCUCUAACAGACUUGGGCAAAGUCACAAUUGCAUGACCUCUCACAUGUGAAACAAAAGUGGCUAGCCUCUGUUAGUUAGCAUAUUAUAAUUCAUAUGACACGUAAUCGCAUAAGUUGGGUAGAGCAUACCAAAUUCUGCAAAGUGCAUGCGUGAGAGAGCUCCACACAACAUGCAAAAACAUUGGCCCUUAAGAAUUGAUCUUAAUCACAUUUUCUUUUGCAACACAUCAUUAUCAAACUGAAAUUACAAUGAUGGAUUUAUCUAGCUAGCUAGCUAGCUUGUGGGUUUGCGUUUCUAAGUUGGUCACAUACGAAAGCAUGGAAUGGAUAUGGAUUCAUAGCUUUCUUUGAUUACAAGAUUCCUCUGUGCACUGCAUUCAUGCAUCAGCCUUUACCUGGCCUAAGUGACUUGUAGUGACCAACUUUCGACCACCUUUCACAAACCUUCUAUAAAUUCUCAUGAAUUACAACAUUUUUAGCCAUGGGGUUGGAUUUUUUUACUUGGUUGAUUUGUGACGUGCACUUUGUCAUCUUUAAAUUGCUUGUCACACUCACAUACAUAAAUGCAAAUGCAAGCAAGCUAGAUAGUGUAAUUCUGAUUGAACUGGAACCAUCAAAUUAUAGUCAAAGAUAUACAUGUGGUCGAUGUCAGUAAAACUAUAUAGAUCGACCAAAAGUAUCAUGAAUCUCCAAACCAGAACGAAAGGUCAUGAAUGUUUAUCCGAUUUGUACAUACACAGCUAGGUUUUCUCUGCACGAGGUUAUAGCCACAAAAUGAUGCUUACGCAACAGAUAAUUGACAUAGACAGUGAUAUAAUUGCAUUUAUAUUCUAUGAACCUAAAUAGUAAUGAUAAAAUAUAGGGAUGUUUAGUCACUAUUUUGUCUCGUCGAUCAGGUGUUGGAGAUUGGUACCCCGUACCAUCCAAUCACUCCCGGUUAAAAAUCAACAAUAUGUACGUUUAAUUUCUAGAAAUAGCCUGCAAUAUUGGAAGCUCACAGAAACCCCCAAGUUCUCUCAAGAUUUAUCAGUAUAAUUAAGCAUUCACCAUGCAACGACAGAAAUUAUGGCUGCCCUAAUUUUUUUUUUUAAAUUUGAGCCAGCAGGAAAUUAAUGUCCUGAUGAUUUCUGAUGAUCUAAGCGAUACAAGUAUCUCGCAAAUUUCGGUUUAGUGUGCUCCGGAUCUGCUUUGCACCUAAGUUCUAAUCCACUUUUAUAAUUUAGAUUAAUGUAGUGUUAAACAGCCGUUUGCAUUAAAGAAAAAACCAGUAGAAGUAUUUUUGGAAAUAUAGCUGGCACUUCCAGCACUGUGAUCUUAGAAUAAAAGACAUAUAUGCGUUUAUUCUUACAAACCCUUGUGGACUGGAAUUUUACUUUGCGUUUUUUUUUUUUUUUUUUUUUUGCUCCAUAAAAUCUGUCAAUUUGAAGAGGAGAAACAAAAGAGAAGGAAUAUACAUAUUGGAAAAAAAAUCAAAAAAAUGCAUAACCAAAAGACUCUUGUCAAGAUUCCAUCUUCUACUAAUUAGUGAUGUAUUUAUAAAAACCUAACUCUGAACAAACAAGAAAACAAUUGCAAACCCUAAAAAAUAAAAAUAAAAUAAUUAUAAUAUUUCUCCUAGUUACUAUAAAACCUUAAGCCAUUAAAUACUAGAAAUAGUCAAACAUAAAAAUCAACCAAAUUACUAACUUGAUCACUUUUCCAACAAUGUGUGUGUAUAUAUAUAUUUCACACAAGGAGGGUGUGUGUGGUAAUAAUAAGUCAAGAAGCAUAGCUUAACAAAACUAAUCAAGGUUGUGUUAGGUGGCUAGAUCUUGCUUAGCCUCAUACGUGGUAUGAGACAAAUUAUGAGUUGGGGCCGGGUUGCUUUCCCUAAUUGUCAUGUUUAAGCCAAAUUGAAAAUAUUUGUUGCGUAGUACAAUCACUUGCCAAAUUUUCUAAUGAGGGCAGCAUGAUAGGCCACUUUCAUGAGCAAAGAUAGUAUGAUCAAAUAGAUGUGAAAAGCCUCUCCACGUUGAACGUCAUCGAUGUACCUUUCAAGCUGAUCCUAAAUGCGAUCUUCUUAUGCAUACAAAUUUAGUCAGCAUUUUCCUUCUCUCUGUGAAUGUGAAAUUUUUGAAUUGCUUGUGGUUUGAGUACUUUACUUUCAUCAAAGAUCUAUAUAUCCGGUUCCUCGGCCUUAAAAAGUACAAAUACAAACAUCUCAUAUAACGAAAUAGAGGUUAAUUAAAGUUUAUUUUUCACCCAUCUAUCCAUAUUUGUUUAGGGAAAGAUGUGUUAUAAUACUGAUAUACAUAUAUCAAAAUAAAUUGGGAGUAUUUGCAAAUUCCGUUUAAGGCCUUGCCACCAAAUGAGAAUUGAAAAAGAAAUAAACAUGGUUAAUGUUAAAUUAGUAUCUUCAAGGUUCAUAAAACAUAUACAAAGAAAUGAAAAAAAUUGAUCACUUUCUUCAUGUAAUACCAGUUAAUAGUUUAAUUAAUCGUAUCAAAAUCAAAUCACUUGUGUUUAACAUUAACAUUUGCAACAUAAAAAACCACUAACAUGACCUAUUUGCUAUUGGUGUUAGCAGCUGGCCGUGUCGUAGACAAGUUCGUGCUAGUCAUUGUCUACACGAAACAGCUAAUUAACGUUUUGAGUUUGAGCUAUGAUAUCAUGCCAUCCAUGUGAAUGAUUGUUCUCCUAAUUUAAACUAUAAUAUCAAGUGGAGGGUGGAGUGCGUCACCAAUAACACAUUUUAGUGCUUGAGUGUGUAAAGAUUAAGUGUAUCAACACUAAAGAUAGAGUCAAGAAGAAAGUCAAGAUGGUCGUAAGUAUUUGGAAGUCUAAGUUAGCAGAACAAGUUUCUUGACCCAAGCUUACAAGUAGUUUGAAUCUGGUGUGCCAAAGAUAUGGUUUAGAACAUAUCUAGGAAGAUCACUGAAUAUGAUUAGAACUCAGUUAGACAUAAGUUGCAAGGGGAAGCACCAAGACAGACAAAGUCCAUGCAUGACUAGGAUGAAUAGCUGCUUAGGGGAUAAAAAUACGUCCAAUUGACAGAAACCUCCAAUAAAACUGGAUAUAACUUGGGAUAUAACUUGGUUUUCCAGUCGAAGAUAGAGACCUAUCUACCAAGGCGAUCCACCACUUCCAUUAUUUCUUUCCAAAGAACAUCUUUCAUUUCUGUAAUUAAAAUAUGGUGGAAUUCUCGCUUAUACUAGUCUACUCUUUUCCCUUGCGGCCCACGCGUGCACAUGUCCCUCAAGCUGACGUGGGCUACUCUUGCCCUUUUCUACCGUUUCGGUGGGCUAACAAUGAGUGACAAAUAAUCAAGCGGAUCCAUAAUAAUUCAGAUCUGGGCCCAAAAUGAUAAUGAGGUGAGGGCAUCAAGGGUUAGCCCACAUGACAAGCCCUAGUUAUUAGGUUAUGAAAUAAUUUCAAGUAAUUGCUGGCGAACUCAGAUGAGUGGAGUUUUAACAGAAAACCCUGGCAAACUCUUUUCUUAAUAUAGAAAAAGUGUCGUGGUAAGAAUUAUAGCACAAGUGUGAUUUUAUAGUUUCGGGUAGAUUGUAUUUAGGAUUCCUAUGUAAUAUGGAAGAUUUUGGGCCUUCUUACUUGUAGGGCAAAUAAGUAUGUAAUAUUUCAUACAUCUCUCUUUUCUCUUUCUGUGCCACCGCACUCUCUCUCUCUCAUUCAGUUAAGUUUAGGCCACAACAAAAAUAAUAUUGUUAUCAAAGCAUGAAAUUCAGUAUCUUCAAUAGCUUAGAAAUAUUAUAACAAGGUGGAUCUGGAGAAAGUGUCAUCAACGUGUUUAUAAGUAGUAAUGGACUGAAGUGCUUCUAAAUGAGCAAUUCCAAACAGGCCCUUAAACUUUCAACUGAAUUUCUUCACGCAGCAUUGUGCCGAUUAAAAUAGUACUUGUAUUUUUAAUAAAUAAAUUCAACGUAUUUAUAACAAAAGCACUUCUAGCAUAAGCACUAAUAGACAAUAGUGUCUUUUGAAAAACUUUUGAAAUUACAAAAAUACCUCAUACCACUCCUCUAGUCGUAGACUAAUUAUGUCUUGGUCGACAUUGAUUUUUAAGGCAACAACUCUAUCGGCUUAGACCUACUCAUCCACCAUGUAAAUAAACUAAGUGAUGGAUUGUCAUGGUACUAGAAGAAAAAAGGUCAUCUACCACGGUGCAUGCCCAUUGUAGAUCGAAAUCCAUCACGGACAAUCUGCCCGUUAGUAUUCUGGAUACGAUAAUUAUGCAUGUUUUCAACUCAUUACCUCCCAAGUCUAGACCCUCCUUCAAUAGUUUAAAUGAAUCUAGGGUAGAUUAUACCAUCAUUUGAAAAGAUAAAUUUCCAAAAAAUGUAUAUGACUUGAUCCAACCGAUAAAAUCAUUAGAAACAGUUCUAUUCUUUUGGGAGGACCAUAACACUUCUAUUCAUUUGGGAGGACCAUAUAUAGGUUAACUUUUCUAAAUGCUUUGGGACUUUAAGGUCGAUCAAAUGAGUCUACUUGAAUCAAUACCCUUCUUAUUCCAUACGAACAUAGAAAGAGACAAAAGCAUAUGCGUACAAUGCAUUUUUUAAACUUAUUUAAUUUUUGUUUAUUUGUAAGAUGAAUGGAGAGCAAAUGAGGGAGAGAUUUUUCAGCCUGAUCAAAACAGAGUUGUACAUUACAUGUUAUUAUAUAAUUGAAAAAAAAAUUUAUUUUUUCAAAUAGUUAUUUAUUUAUAUAAUAAUAUAUAAUGUACCACUUUAUGUUCCCAACACAUUAAAAAAUCUUUCGCAGAGCAGGACCGAGUCAUCUUCCAUGCAACGUACGAACACGCCACCAAGUUCCUUUAUAUUGUAGAAACUUGCACGAUUAAAACUGUUCUACUCAUAGCUUUGAAUAAAAAAUAUUAAAGGAAAAAAGUUCGACAGAAAAGUCAAGGUGUCACAUUGACCACACGUGCAAGCAAAGAAUCAAAGAAUCAACGGUCAAAUGGUCAAUACAAAUCUAAAGAGUGGACACAUUUUUUUGGAAGAGGAAUAUGAUUGGCAGGCAUCUGAUUGGCAUCUGAUGGGAAUGAUCCCAAAGUAAUUAAGUACAGCUUUUCUUGGAGGAUAUCCAAUCUUUCAAAGUAAUUAAGGACUUAGCCAAUAGCCAUGCGACGAAUGGACGUUUCUCUCCUUUCUUUUGAUUCAUCAUCACUUUCAUAUGGGUCGCCCAUGAUUUCACAAGUUAGUCGAUCUUUGUUUAAUAGUAGGCAAAUUAAUUUGAUGGGUCACAUAAGGAAAAUCUUGCUCUAUAGAUAAUUUGAGUAGGCAAACUUUAUCUACUUUCAACAUAAAUAAUGUUGCCUAUUUUGAAGUGAAUGGGUAUAUCGAGCUCACAUAACUUUUAAAAAUAAAUAAAAAUUUCUAUGUGGUUCUUGAAUGACGUUAGGUGAAUAAAGAAGCCUACUGGUGUAGAAUGUCGAGCUUGUGCAUUUUUUGCACAUGCAUUGCAGAAAAUACAUCCUUAAUUAAAAAAAAAACCUUUAUAUUACAAAAAGUUGACAACUACUUCUCAUGGUAGUCUCUCAGUUCCAACAUCAAUCAAUGUGUUCCAUGCAUUAAUGUUGUCCUUCCAUUUGAAUUCCAUCCAAAUCUUUGUUAGGUUCAAAUGUUUGUUAGUUUGCUAAUAUAGCUCAUAAGUGGAGCCGACUAAUCCAAUUUGUUUUUCGCCAAGUGGAUUCUAAAGAAAAAAUCAAUUUUUCUAAGGACUAGGGAAGGAAGAGAGAUGGGGGUGGGGAGGGGUGGGCGUAAAAGGUUCAAAGGGUUGCAAGGGUGACGGGUCAAAAGUUUGAAGAGUUGAUGAGGAGGGGGUGGAGGAAUGAGGAUCCUCUCUGGAUACAUUAUGAUCAUUCAUCGUACAUCGUGCGGUCAGUUUUCGUUAGGUACUAUUUGUGUUUAAUUUUAAAUAAAUAAAUUCAAAAUGAUUUCUGACCGCACGAUGUACGAUAAAUGGUUAGAAUGUAAGGAUCCUUAGAAUCCCCACAGCUUGGAUCCGAAUGGGAUCCAUCUCCGGGGUGGAGGAUCAAAGGGUCCAACAGAAAGGCGUGGGUCGACUAGUCGAACGAUCGAUGGGGUGGCUGCCUGGCUGGGUGGCGCGGAUCUGGAGCAUAGGUAGUGGAUAAGAGGCUUCGCCCUUGUGUUAGGUGGGAAAGAUGGUGCGAAAGAAACUCCUUUUUUUCAGUGCGUAUUCUUUAUCAUUGGCAUCCGAGUUUGGUAAAGAAUACGCACUGUGAAAAGGAGUUUCUUUCUUCUGAUGAGGAACUACUUGACCUACAACUUUCGCUCAUUCAAUGAAGGGGUGGUCCCUCAAGUCUCAACGUGGAAAUUUACACCAGAGCAAAUUAGAGGGUUCACUUGGCCUUCUUAUUGUUUGUACACGUGUUACCUUUUGCAAUCUGCAAGAAGCUUUAUUUGACGUGCCACCUGUAUGCAUGUUCUACAAGACAAUAAGUUAUAGCUAGGUGACGGUUUAGUAGGCGAAUUAAGUAAAUAUAUUAUGUUAUAUAAAUAAAUGUCUAUUACAAUUAAAAUUAUAAUUCAAAAACCUCAUAAUUCUAUUUCAAUAACCAAUUAACUCGUUAAUUAGAAAAACUUAAUUACCUAAUUAAUUAAUUUUAAAAAAAUAUACUUGGAACCGCCUAAUGUGCUGCCUAAAUUGCCUAGACCAACUAGACCACCUAGGCGGUUGCCUAGUCCCUCCCCAAUUUUAGGACACUGCCUGUAUGUAACUUGCAUGUCUCGUCUAGUGCAUACAAGAAAAACUCAAUGCAUAUGAAUAACUAGCCAACUUUUAGAAGCAAAUUCCAAAUUGGUCUUAAUCAUUUAAAACAUUUCAAAUAACUACCGAAUGUUUUAAAAGUUGGACAUCCGUUAGGUCAUCAAUGCUAAAUGAUCACUAGAACAAGUAUUAGAGUGGGAUUUCACUCUCAUGUCUAUAGAGCUCCAAAUCAAUUGCUUUUAACUAGAGACAGUUAGUGUUUAAAACUUGGUGAAGAGGGUCCAUUAUGGGAUUCUUUUUUUUUUUUUUUUUUUUUGAAAGCGGUCCAUUAUGGGAUUUAAACUCUAUAGAUGACGUAUUAGUGAAAAUUAUAUUCAGUAUUAGUUCAGACCAUGAUUUAACAUUAAUGACAUCAUCAAUUAACAGUAAUAACAUCAUCACUUAAUGAUGGUAACCUAACAAGUGUUCAUUUUUCAAAACGUAAGAUAGUUAUUUGAAAUGUUUCAAAAGGUUAUGAACAAUUAAGAAUGAGCUCCAAAGGUUGGGUAAUUACUUAUACUUAACCCUAUACAAUAAGCUUUUUAACCAAAUAUUUUUAUUAAAUUUAUAUAAACUAUAGAGACGAAUAUUGAAAUUUGAAUGUACAUUAAACUGUUUGUGAUGGAAAUGCAUUAAAAAGUUCAAUCCACAAUUAUCUUUUAAGCCUUGUGUUAAUCGCAUUAUGCAUGGUCUUUUUUAAGGUACAGUCUAAUCCAUCUUGUCCUCACUUGAGAUUUGGAAGGGAUGUAAUUUAUUCAAAGAUAAGAGAUAAGGGUCAUCACUCACAGAAUUGAAUGGUAAGUAGCCAGUUUUUUCAGACAGGUGGCAAACAUUCUAAAUCUAACGGCAGUGGAUUUGUUGCCAAAACAAGCAAACAAGAAGGGGCAGUAGUCAUCAUUUAAUUUGAUGCUAUCCAUUUCUCUGGACUGCUAUUCGUUAAGAACAAAAGAAUUCCUUCAGCAUAUUGUUAGACCUAAAUCUCCAUUGAAGUGACGAAUGUCAAUGUCAUCACUUAAUCAGAGUUGGAGACCUAAAUGCUCUUUGAACAAUGAUUCCAAAUGUACCAUUUCUAGCCCCCUUUGACGAAUAUACCUUUAAUUUAUUGUUAAUGUUAUCAAUAUAUAUACUUUGAUAUUGUAUCAAUUUAAAUCUUAAUGUUACAAAUCAAUGUUGUGUUUAUAUAUUAUCGAUAUACUAUCAAUAUACAAUUGUUAUUGUAUUCAUAUUUUGUCACUAUUGUAUCUAUAGCGUUGAGCGAAGGCUAGUGCAAAGGAUAUGGUUGUAGCCUGAGGCUUUGUAAUCGGACUUUUUUGUUUGUGUUUGUGGUGGAGAGGGGGGGGGGACAAGAUGCCGAGGAUCCGGGUAAAAAACCGAAAACAAAAUGAUUUUAUUUAUUGGUAUUGGAAAGACCAAAAGGAACCAAACCAUUCCAUUAAAAGAUAGAUUAUCAAUUUGAUACAAAGAAGAUAGAAUUUUCAAAAAAUAAAUUUAUAGAUAUUGGAUCUAACGAAGGACAUGACACAGGAUCGAGCACAAUGGCGUUCUAAGAUUCAUAUAGCCGAUCCCACUCAGUGACUUGGAUUUUCCAAGUCUCCAACCGAGAAGUUUUCCUCACUCGGGAAAUUAAGGGAACACUACCCCAACCUACAUGCUCCACUCAGAAAGCUUCAACAUACAAGCUUCAACAAAAGAAAAUUCAAAGAACUUAGCGAAGAAGGCUUUGGUGUAUUUAACACAAUACGUUGAAAUGAAGGAAAGCUUAUUUAUUGAUAUCCCCGAUAAGCUACAAAUAUGUACAUAUACAUGAGUCAAAAUAAAACACACAAGAGGGAGCCUUCACAAAGGUUGCUUAGGAGAAGUCUCAGCAGUCGGUAGAGCCCCAGAAAGAGAAGGCACCGGAGGGGGAUCAUUUGGAGCCUCAGUACUGGACAGAACCCUAGAAGGAGGAGGCAUCAGAGGUUGAUCAUUUGGAGCUUCAUUACGCGGUACAGCCCCAGAAGACGAAGGCAAUAAAUGCCUUUGGAACAAACCCACAAAUCUCUGAUGAUCAAGUAAAACCUGACCAUCAGUUUCCUUCAUCUGGUCAAGCUUCCUCUUCAUGUUUGUAGCAUAGUCAUGUGCGAGCCGGUGCAACUGUUUAUUCUCAUGCUUGAGCCCUCUAAUCUCCUGUUUGAGACUCAUCACUUCAGCCGCCAAUGAUUCAACUUGGCGGGUUCGAGCAAAUAGGCGUUGGGCCAUAUUAGACACAGAACCUGCACACUGAACACUGAGAGCCAGCGAAUCCUUAACAGCUAACUCAUCAGACCGUUUGGAAAGUAGUCUGUUAUCUUUGGGAGUGAGAAGGUUCCUGGCCACCACCGCAGCGGUCAUAUCAUUCUUCAUCACGGAAUCCCCAACGGUAAGAGGACCAGUAGGGGAGACGAAGGAUGGGCGCCAUAUGUUGUCUGGAGAAGGCGGGGCUGCCUCUUCAACAAGGUUCAAGUCAAAACGACGGUCGGAGGGGCCAGACAUUUUCAAAGGUGUUGAAGAGAGAAGAGGUCGGACAAAUCAAGAUCUUAGAAGUGCAAGAAUGAAGCUUCUACUGGUGGAGAUUCAAGUGUGCUUUGGAACUUAAUGCCAGCCCCUAUAUAAAAAUCUGCACUCGACGGAGCUUCAGAAAUCGAAGAGGCGCCUGCUCAGAAAUCGAAGAGGCGUUUGCUUUUCUCAAAAGCUGGGCUGCUUAGAGAUCACGAGGGUUGAUCUCAGAAAUCGAAGAGGCGUUUGCUUUUCUCAAAAGUUGGGCUGCUCAAAGACCACGAAGGCCGAUCUCAGAAAUCGAAGAGGCGCUCGCUUUCUCAAAAGCUGGGCUCCCCAGAGACCACGAGGGCCGAUCUCAGAAAUCGAAGAGGCACCUACUUUUCCAGCCUUGUCAGCACCUGUCACACGCACACUCAGCUUUGCGGAAAUUAUGGGCAUUCUGUCGAAGACUUCUGGGGAAGUAGAAAACACAUGAAUCUUACUGUUCAAUCACCCACUUCCCACACGCAACAAUAGCUCAUGGGUACCACAGAUAACUUUGCCAAAGUUCUCUGCCAAAGUUGAGCACGUGAAGCUUGCAGCUCCCACUACAUCGCUCUGACCAAGAAGGGUAAAAGAAUAGCAAAGAAACAGCACUAACAAAGUUUAGACCCAUAAAUUUUGAAGGUCUAGCUACCAUAUUAUUACCCACAAGGGUAAAGGAACAGUACCACUGCUGGAUAAUUGGAAAGUCCCUGUGUGUCAACCUCUGUGCUUCGUGGCAAGGUAGACUAGCAAACAUGCCCAACCUUUACUCACAUUCGAGAAAACACUCCCAAUAAGAUUGCUUGCUCCAAAAUCGAAGAGGCACCGUCCUCCGAAUCUCGAGAGCCAGACUCCCAACAUGACUACUUUCUUAAAAAUCGAAGAGAGGGUAAAGGAACAGUACCAUUGCUGGAUAAUUGGAAAGUCCCUGUGUGUCAACCUCUGUGCUUCGUGGCAAGGUAGACUAGCAAACAUGCCCAACCUUUACUCACAUUCGAGAAAACACUCCCAACAAGAUUGCUUGCUCCAAAAUCGAAGAGGCACCGCCCUCCGAAUCUCGAGAGCCAGACUCCCAACAUGAUUACUUUCUCAAAAAUCGAAGAGACACUGCUCCCCGAAUCUUCGAGAGCCAGACCCCCAGCAUGAUUGCUUUCUCAAAAAAUCGAUGAGGCAUCGUUCUCCGAAUCAAUCGAAGAGGCGCUCGCUUUCUCAAAAGCUGGGCUGCUCAGAGACCACGAGGGCCGAUCUCAGAAAUCGAAGAGGCACCUACUUUUCUAGCCUUGUCAGCACCUGUCACACGCACACUCAGCUUUGCAGAAAUUAUGGGCAUUCUGUCGAAGACUUCUGGUGAAGUAGAAAGCACAUGAAUCUUACUGUUCAAUCACCCACUUCCCACACGCAACAAUAGCUCAUGGGUACCACAGAUAACUUUGCCAAAGUUCUCUGCCAAAGUUGAGCACGUGAAGCUUGCAGCUCCCACUACAUCGCUCUGACCAAGAAAGGUAAAAGAAUAGCAAAGAAACAGCACUAACAAAGUUUAGACACAUAAAUUUUGAAGGUCUAGCUACCAUAUUAUUACCCACAAGGGUAAAGGAACAGUACCACUGCUGGAUAAUUGGAAAGUCCCUGUGUGUCAACCUCUGUGCUUCGUGGCAAGGUAGACUAGCAAACAUGCCCAACCUUUACUCACAUUCGAGAAAACACUCCCAACAAGAUUGCUUGCUCCAAAAUCGAAGAGGCACCGUCCUCCGAAUCUCGAGAGCCAGACUCCCAACAUGACUACUUUCUCAAAAUCGAAGAGAGGGUAAAGGAACAGUACCAUUGCUGGAUAAUUGGAAAGUCCCUGUGUGUCAACCUUUGUGCUUCGUGGCAAGGUAGACUAGCAAACAUGCCCAACCUUUACUCACAUUCGAGACAACACUCCCAACAAGAUUGCUUGCUCCAAAAUCGAAGAGGCACCGCCCUCCGAAUCUCGAGAGCCAGACUCCCAACAUGAUUACUUCCUCAAAAAUCGAAAGAGACACUGCUCUCCGAAUCUCGAGAGCCAGACCCCCAGCAUGAUUGCUUUCUCAAAAAUCGAAGAGGCAUCGUUCUCCGAAUCUCGAGAGCCAGAUACCACAGACCACUUUUUCAAAGUGCUCUGACAGAGUUAAAACAUGUGAAACUGGCAGCUCCCACUACCGUGCUAUGACCAAGCAGGGUAAAGGAAUAGCAUUACUACUUGUUGUUAGGGAGACUCCUAUAUAUGUCGACCUCCAUCCCCAACGGACAGGCAGACCUGCAAAAAAAUGCUCAACCCUUCAUCAUAUCUGAGAGGGCACUCCCAACGAAGCCUUUCGAAAUAUUCAGCUUUCUUUCCCCCCGAUAAUACCUCUGCAAACAAGCUAUACUAGAGCAAGAAUAUCUCAUAUCAUCAGGGUUAAAAGCAAGAGUAUCCCAUAUCAUGCUUUUUCCCUGUCUUUUCCUUUUGGCCUUGUUUUUACCUGCAAGACAAGGAGAAAGAGAGCAAUCAGUCAGCACUUGGAAUCAAGCUUCCAGCCAGGAACUGACUGCCUGGAACCCCUUACCUGAUUACUUACCUGGCAUUGCUCUCGAGUACUCAUCUUCAACAUCUUAUGUUUCCAGGGAAGAUUCCGCAUCUGCUUGAGGAACAGAUAGGGCAAGUGCGAAGGAUACAAGGAAGCAUGUGGAGACAAGCGUAACAGCACACGUGCCGAUACAUCCAUUACUCUGUCAAAAGCAAAAGUAUCCCAUAUCAGCAGGGUGGAACGUACUCUAGAUUUGAUGGACUUGUUUUGACCCUCAAAUUCUUCAGUCGGCCUUAUACUCUGGAGGAAACCAGAAAACCCUCCAGCUCAGUUCAAGAAUAAGCCUGUGGAAAGUUACUUCUUCAAAAGCAAAAGUAUCUCAUAUCAUCUCUUCUCAUUUUUCUUCUCUUUAUCCUUCAUGCUGCUGCAAGAUGGGGAGAAGGUGAACAAUCAGUCGGAGCUCUGAUUGCUUACCUUGUCUGUCACCUCUUUCAGCAGACCCCCUAGCUCGGCGACUUGGGGGACUCCUACUACAUGGUUUGUAUCGCGCUUGACCAAGCCUGAAACUACAAGUAAGCUUCAAGUGAAAUUGAUACAUUACCUUGUGCAUCUCCACCAGUUAAAGAUACCACCCCUGGAUGGAGGAAGAGUACUUCCAGAGAAGAUGCCACAUCUACCUAUGAGACAGAUAAGGCAAGUCAAGACGACACCACACUCCGAUACUUAGAAGUUUCGUGAUUACGAGAUCAUUCUCCCACAAUAUUUCCUAAUGUCAUUUGUACUAAAUCAUUCACUUGUACUCACUAAAGGAGAGCUUGAACCUAUGUACUUGUGUAAACCCUUCACAAUUAAUGAGAACUCUUCUAUUCCGUGGACGUAGCCAAUCUGGGUGAACCACGUACAUCUUGUGUUUGCUUUCCUAUCUCUAUCCAUUUAUAUACUUAUCCACACUAAUGACCGGAGCAAUCUAGCGAAGAUCACAAAAAGCGACCGUUUUCGCUACCUAGGAUCUAUCUUGCAAGAGAACGGAGAAUUAGAUGGAGAUCUCAACCAUAGAAUACGAGCUGGAUGGAUGAAGUGUAAGAGUGCAUCCGGCGUGUUGUGUGACCGUCGUAGGCCACUGAAGCUCAAGGGAAAAAUUUUAUAGGACGGCAAUAAGGCCAGCGAUGUUGUAUGGCACAGAAUGUUGGGCGGUGAAGCAUCAACACGUACACAAAAUGGGUGUAGCGGAGAUGAGGAUGCUUCGUGGGAUGUGUGGGCACACGAGAAAGGAUAAGAUUGGGAAUGAGGAUAUCCGAGGUAAAGUAGGAGUAGCCGAAAUUGUAGGAAAGAUGAGAGAAAAUCGGCUCCGGUGAUUUGGACAUGUGCAAAGAAGGCCGACUGACGCUCCGGUUCGAAGAUGUGACUACGGGACAGAGGUUCAGGGCCGAAGGGGUAGAGGAAGACCUAGGAAAACUUUGGAAGAGACUCUAAGAAAAGACUUAGAGUACUUGGAUCUAACGGAGGACAUGACACAAAACCGAACGCAAUGGCGUUCUAGGAUUCAUAUAGCCGACCCCACUUAGUGGGAAAAGGCUUUGUUGUUGUUGUACUGUUAUUACUAAUUUAGACAUAUUAACAUCUCAUUUGGAGAUGCUUUAAAGCCACUUAUCCUGAACAUACAUAAUAAUUGGACGAUUUUGUAAUAUUAGCGUUCAUUUCUUAUGUUACAAAUGGUAUUUCUGCUCCAAGAUAGACUUAAGCUAAGAUUACAUUAAAAAAAGCAAAAUUAAAUUAAGCUAGACUAAAAAGAGACGCUUUAGGACGAGGAUUGAGUUGAAAGUUAAAAAGAAUAGGAUGACGCAAUUAUAAUUUGAUUUGGUGACAAAUCAACAAUCACCGUUAGAAUUUGACUUUUGAAAGAAUACUAUUUCCCAUGAAUGGCAGAAGCUGCAAAUUUUGACCGGUUUUUCUCUGACAACUGGAUAUUACAUUCUAACUGCCGUAAUUUUGUUAUACAAAGAUUCUUUGUUUCGAGUUGGUUGAAUCUGCGGCCUCAAACUAGCAAAAACAACGGACAAAUCUCCAUCCACUUUUUUCAUGCCACCCCCUCCCAGACUUUUUUUUUAUAAUUUAACCCCAAAAUGUUAGCCCAAAAAAUCCAAAUUAUUUACAGAAAUGCACUCCUACGUGGAUUUUCUACCCAAAUGCACUCCCUCGGGCCUCGGUCCUUUGCUGCUUCCAUUUAUUUUCGACUUCUGGCUUUUGCCUUUACUGCCAAUGCCCGAACCCGCUGGGCCGGACCGGGUAACAAACGUUCUGAGAGUGUUGCUGGAAGAAGUUGGAGUUAUCCACCCGCUGAGUUCUGAGUCCGCUCUGCACCUCCUCCUCCGCCGUCUUCCCAAACUCUCCGGCGGCCAUUCCACGUGGCAGAGAGGUGGGGUUGAAGGGAGGCACGUCAUUGUUAUUGAAAUUGAAAUUCAUUUGUCCUUGGCCUUGCUGAGUCUGAUUAUUGAGAUUGAGUUCUGGCGCCGAGUUGAGCCCGGCGAGAGUCGCCCAGUCGAAAUUCCCGGAACCGGUGUUCUGAAAAUAAUCUUGCUGUCCUCCUGCUGCUGCAGCAGCGUCUUGAGCGAGUUUAUCCGGGGCAGGGUGAAGUUCCGAUCGUCAAUAUCCGGCAACCACUCGAGCACGUCGUCGAGCUGAGAAGAGCACGAUGACGACGAGCCGUUGCUGUGCUCUUUGCUCGAAACGCUCGUAACGGGCUUCUGUGCUGCCGCUGCCGCAGCCGCUGCUGAGCUGCUGCUCUUCUUGUAAAUACGACACAAAACCCAUUCAUCCAACUGCAAUCCAAAAUUUAGUUUAGAAUUUCAAUCGAAAUAAAUUUUAAAAAGCAAUCACUUGAAUAAUUUAAUAAAAUACAACAAAACACGAAUUAAAUUAAAUAUUUACCUUGGAGCUGCCAUUUUUGCGAGAGGGCUCGAUGAGGCGAUACUCGUGCAUAAUCCAGUUGGUCUUGGUGCCUUUUGGGGCUUUUCCCACAUAGAAAACAAGUGCUUUUUUAAUCCCAACUUUUCUACCUUCAGUUGUAAUAACCUUAUCAGUUCCAGUUGCCUUCCAGUACCCGGUCCCAGCAACCCGAUUGGGUCGCGACCCAUUUGGGUAUUUCCGGUCCCUCGGACUGAAAAAGUACCAUUCUUUUUCCCCAAAUAUCGCUUUGCCUGCAAAACCAACAUCGAAUUUAGUUCAAUUUACCACCACGUUAAACAUUUCAAAAGUGGGUGCUGAUAAAACAGUAAAAUUAAAAAUUGGAUUCUGGUUCUUACUUGGUAAAACCCAAGGAUCAAACUUGUAAAGAUCGAUUUCAGCAAUUAUUUGCAGAUUGAAUUGGUACCCAGCAACCUUGCGGCAGAGGUACUGAACCAGAAGCUCCUCGUCCGUCGGAUAGAAUCGAAACCCCGGCGGCAGGCUCAGCUGAGAAAGAGGGUCGGUUU